This is a non-coding RNA of Chelmon rostratus (copperband butterflyfish), 708 nucleotides long. Lineage: Eukaryota; Metazoa; Chordata; Actinopteri; Chaetodontiformes; Chaetodontidae. The record is from the annotation of a RefSeq genome assembly.
CACAGAACAUCACAUAAUACAGCGACACUCCCACCUGCAACUCGUCAUAUCUCUGUUGUUACGUCACACCUCUCAUCACACACACUGACAGUGACUCUGGUCUCUAAUGUCAGUUGGCUCAGGACACAAUAAUGAUCACAGCUGGUCUGAUCACACUCUCUGCAGCUCUGCUCUGUAUUGUAGGUCUAAUUGAGGGGAAUGAGGUCACUCAGACCCCUCCGCUGUGGAGGGACGAGGGUCAGUCUGCCACGAUGAACUGCAGUCACACUAAGGGUGGCAGUUUUUACCAGAUGUACUGGUACAGGCAGCUGCCAGGGGAGGGAAUGAAGCAAAUUGUUUUCACGACUCCAACUCCCCCACAUCAAUAUGAAAGUGGCUUCAGUGAGGACAAAUUUCCAGCACAGAAGAAAGAUGCUCAGACUGGAUCUCUGACGGUGAAGAAGCUGCUGCUUGAGGACAGUGGAGUGUAUUUUUGUGCUGUGAGUCAACACAGUGAUGCAGGAGACUUAGACAGCUGCACAAAUACCUAAAUGUUGGUGUCAAAGCGAAUAGAAGACAUCACUGUCUUCAAUUGUCUGAAGGGGGAGCUCAAGACCUACAAAUUAUGUUAAGAUUUUUGGUUAGUAGUCAGCAUCAUUUGUAAUAACUGUGAUUUUGUAAUAUAAUUGUUACAUAGGAGUGUAGCAACACAUGGCUGAAAAAUUGAGA